UACGUAGGGUGCAAGCGUUGUCCGGAAUUAUUGGGCGUAAAGAGCUCGUAGGCGGUCUGUUGCGUCGGCUGUGAAAACCCGGGGCUCAACUCCGGGCCUGCAGCCGAUACGGGCAGACUAGAGUUCGGCAGGGGAGACUGGAAUUCCUGGUGUAGCGGUGAAAUGCGCAGAUAUCAGGAGGAACACCGGUGGCGAAGGCGGGUCUCUGGGCCGAUACUGACGCUGAGGAGCGAAAAGCGUGGGGGAGCGAAACAGG
Molecule: ribosomal RNA, 256 nt
Filed under: uncultured bacterium
Lineage: Bacteria
Description: partial 16S ribosomal RNA
Rfam family: Bacterial small subunit ribosomal RNA
Source: RNAcentral